CAGGUAGAGAAUACCGAGGCGAUCGGGCGAACUGUGGUUAAGGAACUCGGCAAAUUACCCCCGUAACUUCGGGAGAAGGGGGGCCACAGACCGUGAAACCCCAUGCGGGUGGCAGCGGUAGGUGGCCGCAGAGACCAGGGGGAAGCGACUGUUCACUAAAAACACAGGUCCGUGCGAAGUCGUAAGACGAUGUAUACGGACUGACGCCUGCCCGGUGCUGGAACGUUAAGGGGACCGGUUAGUCCGCAAGGGCGAAGCUGAGAACUUAAGCGCCAGUAAACGGCGGUGGUAACUAUAACCAUCCUAAGGUAGCGAAAUUCCUUGUCGGGUAAGUUCCGACCUGCACGAAUGGCGUAACGACUUCCCUACUGUCUCAACCACAGGCCCGGCGAAAUUGCACUACGAGUAAAGAUGCUCGUUACGCGCGGAAGGACGGAAAGACCCCGGGACCUUCACUAUAGCUUGACAUUGGUACUCGAAUUGAAUUGUGUAGGAUAGGUGGGAGACUAUGAAGCUCGGACGCCAGUCCGGGUGGAGUCAACGUUGAAAUACCACUCUGUUGAAUUUGGGUAUCUAACUUCGGACCGUGAUCCGGUUCAGGGACAGUGUCUGGUGGGUAGUUUAACUGGGCGGUUGCCUCCUAAAAUGUAACGGAGGCGCCCAAAGGUUCCCUCAGCCUGGUUGGCAAUCAGGUGUUGAGUGCAAGUGCACAAGGGAGCUUGACUGUGAGACUGACAGGUCGAGCAGGGACGAAAGUCGGGACUAGUGAUCCGGCACCGGCGAGUGGAAGCGGUGUCGCUCAACGGAUAAAAGGUACCCCGGGGAUAACAGGCUGAUCUUCCCCAAAAGUCCAUAUCGACGGGAUGGUUUGGCACCUCGAUGUCGGCUCGUCGCAUCCUGGGGCUGGAGUAGGUCCCAAGGGUUGGGCUGUUCGCCCAUUAAAGCGGCACGCGAGCUGGGUUUAGAACGUCGUGAGACAGUUCGGUCCCUAUCCUCCGCGCGCGCAGGAGACUUGAGAAGAGCUGUCCCUAGUACGAGAGGACCGGGACGGACGAACCUCUGGUGUGCCAGUUGUCAUGCCAAUGGCACGGCUGGUUAGCUACGUUCGGAAGGGAUAACCGCUGAAAGCAUCUAAGCGGGAAGCCUGCUUCAAGAUGAGGUCUCCCACCCCCUCGAGGGUUAAGGCCCCCAGCAAGACCACUGGGUUGAUAGGCCAGAAGUGUAAGCCUGGUAACAGGUUCAGCCGACUGGUACCAAUAGGCCGAGGACUUGAAAG
Molecule: ribosomal RNA, 1276 nt
Filed under: metagenome
Description: bacterial LSU rRNA
Rfam family: Bacterial large subunit ribosomal RNA
Source: RNAcentral